Molecule: ribosomal RNA, 253 nt
Filed under: uncultured Pelagibacterales bacterium
Lineage: Bacteria; Pseudomonadati; Pseudomonadota; Alphaproteobacteria; Candidatus Pelagibacterales
Description: partial 16S ribosomal RNA
Rfam family: Bacterial small subunit ribosomal RNA
Source: RNAcentral
UACGAAGGGACCUAGCGUAGUUCGGAAUUACUGGGCUUAAAGAGUUCGUAGGUGGUUAAAAAAGUUGGUGGUGAAAUCCCAGAGCUUAACUCUGGAACUGCCAUCAAAACUUUUUAGCUAGAGUAUGAUAGAGGAAAGUAGAAUUUCUAGUGUAGAGGUGAAAUUCGUAGAUAUUAGAAAGAAUACCAAUUGCGAAGGCAGCUUUCUGGAUCAUUACUGACACUGAGGAACGAAAGCAUGGGUAGCGAAGAGG